RNAcentral lists this ribosomal RNA (771 nucleotides) under uncultured archaeon. RNAcentral's name for it is "bacterial SSU rRNA". It matches the Rfam family "Archaeal small subunit ribosomal RNA", at positions 6 to 783 of the family's 1478-position model. The record is from RNAcentral.
GUUUGAUCCUGCCAGACCCGACUGCUAUCUAGCAGUGGGACUAAGCCAUGCGAGUCAACAUAGCAAUAUGUGGCAUACGGCUCAGUAACACGUAGUCAACAUGCCCAGGGGACGUGGAUAACCUCGGGAAACUGAGGAUAAACCGCGAUAGGUCAUCACUUCUGGAAUGGGUAAUGACUUAAACCUAUAUGGCCCCUGGAUUGGACUGCGGCCGAUCAGGCUGUUGGUGAGGUAAUGGCCCACCAAACCUGUAACCGGUACGGGCUCUGAGAGGAGGAGCCCGGAGAUGGGCACUGAGACAAGGGCCCAGGCCCUAUGGGGCGCAGCAGGCGCGAAACCUCUGCAAUAGGCGAAAGCUUGACAGGGUUACUCUGAGUGAUUUCCGUUAAGGAGAUCUUUUGGCACCUCUAAAAAUGGUGCAGAAUAAGGGGUGGGCAAGUCUGGUGUCAGCCGCCGCGGUAAUACCAGCACCCCGAGUGGUCGGGACGUUUAUUGGGCCUAAAGCAUCCGUAGCCGGUUCUACAAGUCUUCCGUUAAAUCCACCUGCUUAACAGAUGGGCUGCGGAAGAUACUAUAGAGCUAGGAGGCGGGAGAGGCAAGCGGUACUCGAUGGGUAGGGGUAAAAUCCGUUGAUCCAUUGAAGACCACCAGUGGCGAAGGCGGCUUGCCAGAACGCGCUCGACGGUGAGGGAUGAAAGCUGGGGGAGCAAACCGGAUUAGAUACCCGGGUAGUCCCAGCUGUAAACGAUGCAGACUCGGUGAUGAGUUGGC